UAAAUUUGUUUUUGUCCAGCU
Caenorhabditis elegans is the source of this 21-nucleotide non-coding RNA. The record is from Ensembl. NCBI's taxonomy places the organism in Eukaryota, Metazoa, Nematoda, Chromadorea, Rhabditida, Rhabditidae.